ACUAAGCUGGGAACGUCUGCUCAGUAUAAAUGCAGAAAAAUGAUGUGGGACUCUAAUUAAAGAGAAGGAAAGGACAUGGGAUAGGCAUUUCAAGACCAGAAGGGGAAAUAAAGCAGUUGCUAUUCUGGCCGUAGAAAGGAAAAGACAAAAGGAAACAGACAUGGUGGGUAUGAUGGAUAAGAGCUAGGUCUGUAAAUCAGCUGGGUCUGAGGAAAGGAGACAAACUCUUCUUACUUCUGGAAAGAGCAUUUUGUUUUGAAGUUCUUAGAGGUAAAAUAUGAGGAAGGGAAAGGACCCUACUGCUUUUUUCUCCGUGGAGAGAAAGACUGAAGAAAAUGACUAUAACAUCCUAAAGAUGGAGGAUCUCCUUUACCUGGAGAACCUGAUGUAUUUUGUUCUCACAGAUGAAGAAAUGAGCUUCAUGACUUGCCCAAUGACGCUGGGGCAGUGAGUGGGGAGCAAAGAAUUUUGAAACAUUGAAGAUACGGUGAAAAAUGGAGACAUGCAACGUCAUAUCUGUUAAAAAUCACUCUUGUACAUAUAUAUAACAGCAAAUUCCUGGUGUUCUGACCAACUCUGUAGAACUGUUUGUGGGCAUUUUAAAAUGUGAGUGAAUUCUUUACCCCUUCUAAUAAACCUUUAUCUCAUGAUUUAUGCAUCAAUUUGCAUAACCAGGAUGCAUUAAAUGGGUUAAUUCCAGAGUGCAGGGUUGCUGAAUUUGAGGAGGGAGUUGAUGAGAUAGAGAGCUUCUUUAGGAUGGUAUGGAUCUGUCUUUCCUGAAGGUCUGUACCUGGAAGCCUCAAGUAAUAUAGAUGACAUGGAAACAAAUGAGAAUACACA
Non-coding RNA from Sus scrofa (pig), 840 nucleotides. Lineage: Eukaryota; Metazoa; Chordata; Mammalia; Artiodactyla; Suidae. The record is from RefSeq and is a predicted model, not a curated record.